This 1150-nucleotide ribosomal RNA is filed under the name Salmonella enterica. RNAcentral describes it as "partial 23S ribosomal RNA". It matches the Rfam family "Bacterial large subunit ribosomal RNA", at positions 1783 to 2925 of the family's 2925-position model. Lineage: Bacteria; Pseudomonadati; Pseudomonadota; Gammaproteobacteria; Enterobacterales; Enterobacteriaceae. RNAcentral also lists the same sequence under 1 other name. The record is from RNAcentral.
UACCAGCUGGCUGCAACUGUUUAUUAAAAACACAGCACUGUGCAAACACGAAAGUGGACGUAUACGGUGUGACGCCUGCCCGGUGCCGGAAGGUUAAUUGAUGGGGUCAGCGCAAGCGAAGCUCCUGAUCGAAGCCCCGGUAAACGGCGGCCGUAACUAUAACGGUCCUAAGGUAGCGAAAUUCCUUGUCGGGUAAGUUCCGACCUGCACGAAUGGCGUAAUGAUGGCCAGGCUGUCUCCACCCGAGACUCAGUGAAAUUGAACUCGCUGUGAAGAUGCAGUGUACCCGCGGCAAGACGGAAAGACCCCGUGAACCUUUACUAUAGCUUGACACUGAACAUUGAGCCUUGAUGUGUAGGAUAGGUGGGAGGCUUUGAAGCGUGGACGCCAGUCUGCGUGGAGCCGACCUUGAAAUACCACCCUUUAAUGUUUGAUGUUCUAACGUGGACCCGUAAUCCGGGUUGCGGACAGUGUCUGGUGGGUAGUUUGACUGGGGCGGUCUCCUCCUAAAGAGUAACGGAGGAGCACGAAGGUUGGCUAAUCCUGGUCGGACAUCAGGAGGUUAGUGCAAUGGCAUAAGCCAGCUUGACUGCGAGCGUGACGGCGCGAGCAGGUGCGAAAGCAGGUCAUAGUGAUCCGGUGGUUCUGAAUGGAAGGGCCAUCGCUCAACGGAUAAAAGGUACUCCGGGGAUAACAGGCUGAUACCGCCCAAGAGUUCAUAUCGACGGCGGUGUUUGGCACCUCGAUGUCGGCUCAUCACAUCCUGGGGCUGAAGUAGGUCCCAAGGGUAUGGCUGUUCGCCAUUUAAAGUGGUACGCGAGCUGGGUUUAGAACGUCGUGAGACAGUUCGGUCCCUAUCUGCCGUGGGCGCUGGAGAACUGAGGGGGGCUGCUCCUAGUACGAGAGGACCGGAGUGGACGCAUCACUGGUGUUCGGGUUGUCAUGCCAAUGGCACUGCCCGGUAGCUAAAUGCGGAAGAGAUAAGUGCUGAAAGCAUCUAAGCACGAAACUUGCCCCGAGAUGAGUUCUCCCUGAGACUUUAGGUCUCCUGAAGGAACGUUGAAGACGACGACGUUGAUAGGCCGGGUGUGUAAGCGCAGCGAUGCGUUGAGCUAACCGGUACUAAUGAACCGUGAGGCUUAACCUUACA